AAAGACUUAGGAUUAUUAGACCAAAGGCCUUCAAAGCCUUAAGAAGAAGUUUAAACCUUCUAGUCUUUG
RNAcentral lists this transfer RNA (69 nucleotides) under Eurycea paludicola. RNAcentral describes it as "tRNA-Trp". It matches the Rfam family "tRNA". Rfam says of the family: Transfer RNA (tRNA) molecules are approximately 80 nucleotides in length. The record is from RNAcentral. Lineage: Eukaryota; Metazoa; Chordata; Amphibia; Caudata; Plethodontidae.